RNAcentral lists this ribosomal RNA (774 nucleotides) under uncultured Neocallimastigales. RNAcentral describes it as "partial large subunit ribosomal RNA". It matches the Rfam family "Eukaryotic large subunit ribosomal RNA", at positions 24 to 631 of the family's 3401-position model. The record is from RNAcentral. Lineage: Eukaryota; Fungi; Neocallimastigomycota; Neocallimastigomycetes; Neocallimastigales.
UAUGUGAUCGUCUCUCGCAUAUCAAUAAGCGGAGGAAAAGAAACUAACAAGGAUUCCCCUAGUAACGGCGAGUGAAGCGGGAAGAGCUCAAAUUUGAAAUCUUAAAGGGUUUCCCUUUACGAAUUGUAGUUUAAAGAAGUGUUUUCUGUUGAGGUUUUGGUAAAAGUUCUUUGGAAUAGGACAUCAUAGAGGGUGAGAAUCCCGUAUUUGACCUUUACUUUCAACUUUGUGAUACACUUUCAAAGAGUCGGAUUGUUUGGGAAUGCAGUCCAAAAUGGGUGGUAAAUUUCAUCUAAAGCCAAAUACUGGCGAGGGACCGAUAGCGGACAAGUACCGUGAGGGAAAGAUGAAAAGAACUUUGAAAAGAGAGUUAAACAGUACGUGAAAUUGUCAAAAGGGAAGCGUUUGACACCAGUGUUGUUUUUCUGAAAAUCAAUUAAAGAACUGUUUAUGCUAAGCUGUUUAGACUUUAUCAGCUAUCUGCUUAGUUUUGAGCUUUUCUUUAAUGCACCUUUCAGUUAACAAGUCAACAUCAAUUUCUUUUGCUGUAAAAAAGCUUGAGGAAGGUGGCUUGAGAUUCGUCUUAAGUGUUUAUAGCCUCUUGCCUAUGCAGUCGGAGAGAUUGAGGUCUGCAGCGUAGAUCCUUCGGGGCUAAAUGCAUUUGUGCUAAGUUAUAGCAUUUUAUAGACAACUUGUUGACUAUGAUUUGUCUUGUAGCUUACUCGCUUAUGUUAUUUUACCUACGCUUAGGAUGUUGAUCUACAGAGCGAGAGU